GUUGGCUCAUUACAUCCUGGGGGUGUAGGAGGUCCCAAGGGUAUGGCUGUUCGCCAUUUAAAGUGGUACGCGAGCUGGGUUUAGAACGUCGUGAGACAGUUCGGUCCCUAUCUGCCGUGGGCGCUGGAGAACUGAGGGGGGCUGCUCCUAGUACGAGAGGACCGGAGUGGACGCAUCACUGGUGUUCGGGUUGUCAUGCCAAUGGCACUGCCCGGUAGCUAAAUGCGGAAGAGAUAAGUGCUGAAAGCAUCUAAGCACGAAACUUGCCCCGAGAUGAGUUCUCCCUGACUCCUUGAGAGUCCUGAAGGAACGUUGAAGACGACGACGUUGAUAGGCCGGGUGUGUAAGCGCAGCGAUGCGUUGAGCUAACCGGUACUAAUGAACCGUGAGGCUUAACCUUACAACGCCGAAG
Molecule: ribosomal RNA, 412 nt
Filed under: Escherichia coli
Lineage: Bacteria; Pseudomonadati; Pseudomonadota; Gammaproteobacteria; Enterobacterales; Enterobacteriaceae
Description: bacterial LSU rRNA
Rfam family: Bacterial large subunit ribosomal RNA
Source: RNAcentral